CACGUAUUACGGGGGGGCAGGAAUUAAGGUAUAUGUAACCCAUGUGCUUUGUUUCUGUCCUUCUGAAUAUUCUACCCAUGUCUUUUGCGUACUAUUUGUUCCCUUGGUGAGCUUGCUCGCCAAUAGGACACUGUAAAACCUUUUGUAAUUGCAGUCAGCGUCAGAAAUAACUUAAUAGUUA
This 181-nucleotide unclassified non-coding RNA is filed under the name soil metagenome. RNAcentral's name for it is "partial internal transcribed spacer 1". The record is from RNAcentral.